CAAAGACAUGCUUAUCGGGUCGAUGUUCCCAAUCAUCGGAAUCAUAGUCAUCAAUCCCGUAGGACUUAAUCUCCCCUUUUUCUCGCAUCUCGUCAUUAAAGUCAUUGUUAACCUUAAAUUUCUUCUUCCAUUUGUUUUCCGAGGACGAAGCCGACACGAUUUCCGAUCUCGAGUACGAUGUUAUCGAUUUUUCACCCUCCGCCACAGUUACACAUGCAGGCGGCGUCGCCAUAGUUUCAGAC
This 242-nucleotide long non-coding RNA is filed under the name Nicotiana benthamiana. RNAcentral describes it as "long non-coding RNA (NBEN_LNC001112)". Lineage: Eukaryota; Viridiplantae; Streptophyta; Magnoliopsida; Solanales; Solanaceae. The record is from RNAcentral.